CGGACGCCAUGACAGCCAUUUCAACAAAACCUCAUCAGCCAGACUGAUUCUCGUGUUAUUAUUCUGGAGUUAAAACUGUGCCAAAUGUCAAGAUGAGGACGUUCAGCCACACAGCUCUAGACAGGAUUUACUCUCUGAUCCUGUUGGCUAUAGUUAUCCUGUCUUGGUCCUACGUGAUCUACAGCAGCAGGAUAGCAGCUCAGCGGCUCCUGGAGCAGGAGACCCGCCCCUCGCUGGAUGAUUGACAGUUCAGCCCACCAGUGCACUCACUGUGUUAUUGACGGCUCAACGACUUUACUUCUACACGCGGGACUUUUAAAUAGGGCGGCCCCAUCUGGACUCCAUUAAAAGUCUUCCGACAACAUUUUAUUUCAUGUUGGGCAUUCAAUAUGGCGGACGAUGCACACUAGCGAUGGGACAUUCGACUCUUUUGACUGACUCAAGUUUGUAGGAGUCACUACAGGCAGUCGGGGUUUCGGGUUACUGGAGUCACUCGCCCAGCGCCUGGGACCCCCCCCCCCAGCGCCUAUAGCGCAUGCGCGCCAGCAUUAGCCAGCUUGGCUACCGGUGUCGACCCGUGUUGUGGUGACAACAUUCACAACAAUGUAAAACGUGGAUUUUCCCCAAGUCGCAGCUUUGGUGUGAAAGGGGAAUGAGAUGGCGUCUUGUUUCUGGGAGUUUAUCUGUUGGUUCUCAGAUUCACUCGACAGUAAUACGACAGUAGAAUACCAAUGAUUAAUCUUAACCUCCAUGAUGGUUCACGGUUGCGGCGGCCUCACCCAGUACCGUCCUUGCAGCGUCUUUGUCCACGUCUGCAUCUAAGUUUGUCUUCGUUUGAUGCUGGGAGAGCUGGAGCUGGAUCGGCUGGGGGAGCUUGGUCUGCUUCGUCCUGUGGGCCUAAGGACCACGGCCCUGACCGGAGCUGUGCCUGAAGAGGUAACACCGAGGGCGGUCCGACAGGGCGCGGAAGCGGGGCAGGCUAAGCUAACUGCUAGCCCAUGCAGACCGGCAGUUCUGAUAACACCGAGGGCGGUCUGGCGGCGGCCUCGCCUGGCCUUGACUGUGUUUUUAGUGUCAUCGUGUGGAGUGCAGGGAGGUGUGUUGAAGGUGUCUGUCUGGGAGAGCUUGGUCUGCUUCGUCCUGUGGGCCUAAGGACCACGGCCCUGACCGGAGCUGUGCCUGAAGAGGUAACACCGAGGGCGGCCUGACAGGGCGCGGAAGCGGGGCAGGCUAAGCUAACGGCUAGCCCAUGCAGACCAGCAGUUCCGACAGUCAUCCUGGCUGGCGUUCGUUCUCCUGGACAGUGAUUUUUUUGUUUUUUGUUUAGAUAUAGUAUGUGUUAGUUUGGAUAUGUGUGUUCUUGUAGCUCUUGUAGUUUUUGGAUGUGUUUUUGUGUUUGUGUUGCACUGCUGUGGGAAAUGGUGUUUCGUUUCAUUUCAUGUGCGCAAGUGUAUGAAAUGAAACGACAAAUAAAGGGUUCCUGAUUCGGAAGAUGUGCAGCUGUUCACAGCAUUUGUGUGUCAGAGAGAAAGAGGACAGCUAGCCUUGAUUGAGUUUCAAUAGAAGUAGAACAGCAGGAGCAAUGCAUUUAUGUCUCUCUCCCUCUAUUUCUAGCUUUCUUUUUCUCUCUCUUUCUCUUCAGGCAUCUUUGGUAUUGUCCUGCAGGAUAGGGCUGUUCUCUGAAUCGCUCCCCGAGAGACUUCACACAGCGACCGGUCUGAAACCAACAACCAACCCCCAGUGACCUUAAACCAGCCGACAAGUGAAAGAGAAAUAAAAGAAAUGGAGGCCGGUGGGAGUUGUUCCUGUGCUGGCAGAUGAGUGUUGAUCUCCUCAGCAAAGAGACUGUUUUUCAUUAAACUACAACCAGUCCUGUAAGACGUUGGAGACACCAUGACAGAAAGACUAAUGACCGGCUAGUUAUUACAACUUUAUUCCUCCAGAGGACGCUCUUUACUUAAAUUAUGGCGUCUUCAUUAUUCCCGUAGAUGAACAUCCGGAUCAUCUGUCGGGCACGUUUUCUUCACCACAGUGACAAACUGAAGAAUAAAAACUAGAAAACAAUAAAGACCAUUCCCUAGUUUCCUGGUGAGUCCCUGUAGAAACCCACAUGGUAUGGCUCGCAGUGCAUGAUGGGAAUCGGCAGGUUCAACAGAUGGUUUGUCUUAAUCUACGGGUUGUAUUAGUCCUUCAUAGGUUAGAAAUUAGAAAACAGGUUUGAAAUUUCGUUUGCAGAACAGAAGAAAGUGGAUUACCGGGAGAGGAAUCUUCAACAUGUCUCGGCUGUGGACGCUCCACAUCUGCUACAGUCAAGACUUCCGGUGGAAAUCAGCAUUUUCCAUCCAUCCGGGUGCUUCAGGGCAUUUUAGGACGGAUUGGUGUGAUUACAAAUAAAAUGUUAGAUUACAGAUGCUUUUGUUUUUAGAUCUUGUCCAAAAUGUUUGCUAAUUGCUUUUCUAAAUUUGUCCAAUUUGAGACAUCUUUACAUGACGAAUUUUAAUAUAAACGAGGCUUUGAACUUG
Long non-coding RNA from Lampris incognitus (smalleye Pacific opah), 2522 nucleotides. RefSeq lists it as uncharacterized. The record is from RefSeq and is a predicted model, not a curated record. Lineage: Eukaryota; Metazoa; Chordata; Actinopteri; Lampriformes; Lampridae. The transcript is spliced from 2 exons.